GAAGUACUCCCUCCGUCCCAAAAUAAGUGUCUUAAUUUUGUACUAACUUUAGUACAAAGUUAAGACACUUAUUUUGGGACGGAAGGAGUACAUU
This is a non-coding RNA of Triticum aestivum (bread wheat), 94 nucleotides long. The record is from Rfam. NCBI's taxonomy places the organism in Eukaryota, Viridiplantae, Streptophyta, Magnoliopsida, Poales, Poaceae.